This 419-nucleotide ribosomal RNA is filed under the name bacterium. Its description in RNAcentral is "partial 16S ribosomal RNA". It matches the Rfam family "Bacterial small subunit ribosomal RNA", at positions 355 to 776 of the family's 1533-position model. The record is from RNAcentral.
UGGGGGAUAUUGCACAAUGGGCGAAAGCCUGAUGCAGCGACGCCGCGUGGGGGAUGAAGGCCUUCGGUUUGUAAACUUCUUUUGCUCUGAACAAGGCGCACCAUGGGGUGUGUUGAGUGUAGGGGUUGAUUAGCGCCGGCUAACUACGUGCCAGCAGCCGCGGUAAUACGUAGGGCGCGAGCGUUGUCCGGAAUUAUUGGGGGUAAAGGGCUUGUAGGUGGCUGGUUGCGUCUGUCGUGAAAGCUCAUGGCUUAACUGUGGGUUUGCGGUGGGUACGGGCUGGCUUGAGUGCAGUAGGGGAGGGUGGAAUUCCUGGUGUAGCGGUGGAAUGCGCAGAUAUCAGGAGGAAUACCGGUGGCGAAGGCGGGUCUCUGGGCUGUUACUGACACUGAGGAGCGAAAGCAUGGGGAGCGAACAGG